UGGGGAAUUUUGGACAAUGGGCGAAAGCCUGAUCCAGCAAUGCCGCGUGCAGGAAGAAGGCCUUCGGGUUGUAAACUGCUUUUGUACGGAACGAAAAGGCUCUUUCUAAUAAAGGGGGCUCAUGACGGUACCGUAAGAAUAAGCACCGGCUAACUACGUGCCAGCAGCCGCGGUAAUACGUAGGGUGCGAGCGUUAAUCGGAAUUACUGGGCGUAAAGCGUGCGCAGGCGGUUCUAUAAGACAGAUGUGAAAUCCCCGGGCUCAACCUGGGAAUGGCAUUUGUGACUGUAGAGCUAGAGUACGGUAGAGGGGGAUGGAAUUCCGCGUGUAGCAGUGAAAUGCGUAGAUAUGCGGAGGAACACCGAUGGCGAAGGCAAUCCCCUGGACCUGUACUGACGCUCAUGCACGAAAGCGUGGGGAGCAAACAGGAUUAGAUACCCGAGUAGUCCCUGAGCGGGCUGGCAAGGCGCAU
Molecule: ribosomal RNA, 472 nt
Filed under: uncultured bacterium
Lineage: Bacteria
Description: bacterial SSU rRNA
Rfam family: Bacterial small subunit ribosomal RNA
Source: RNAcentral